UCCGUAGGUGAACCUGCGGAAGGAUCAUUCACAAUGAGUGUUUUAUGGCACUCUUUAAAAAUCCAUAUCCACCUUGUGUGCAAUGUUUGUUGGGAGAGAGGCAACUCUUUCCCUUCACAAAUAUCAACCUAUAUCUUUAACAACAUUCGUCUGAUAACAUAUUAUGAAUAUACUUAAUUCAAAAUAUAACUUUCAAUAACGGAUCUCUUGGCUCUCGCAUCGAUGAAGAACGCAGCGAAAUGCGAUACGUAAUGUGAAUUGCAGAAUUCAGUGAAUCAUCGAAUCUUUGAACGCAUAUUGCGCUCUUUGGUAUUCCGAAGAGCAUGCUUGUUUGAGUAUCAGUAUACACCUCAACCUCCUCUUGUUUUUUCAAAAGGAGGGUGGACUUGAGCUAUCCCAACAACCUUCACCGGUAGGCGGGCGGCUUGAAAUGCAGGUGCAGCUGGACUUUUAUCUGAGCUAAAAGCAUAUCUAUUUAGUCCUCGUCAAACAGGAUUAUUACUAUUGCUGCAGCUAACAUAAAGGAUAAUUGUCCUCAUUGCUGACUGAUGCAGGAUUUUACGACACUUUAUGUGUUGUUCAACUCGAUCUCAAAUCAAGUAAGACUACCCGCUGAACUUAAGCUCAUCAAUAAGCGGAGGA
This 642-nucleotide ribosomal RNA is filed under the name uncultured fungus. RNAcentral's name for it is "eukaryotic LSU rRNA". The stretch from base 188 to 341 matches the Rfam family "5.8S ribosomal RNA". The record is from RNAcentral. Lineage: Eukaryota; Fungi.